CCUAGAGUUGUAGGCUUUGCCUGCUAUCUCUUACCCAUGUCUUUUGAGUACCUUACGUUUCCUCGGUGGGUUCGCCCACCGAUUGGACAAACCUAAACCCUUUGCAGUUGAAAUCAGCGUCUGAAAAAACUUAAUAGUUA
Molecule: unclassified non-coding RNA, 140 nt
Filed under: soil metagenome
Description: partial internal transcribed spacer 1
Source: RNAcentral